GGAAGUGGAAAGCUCACUGGUGGAGCUCCCGGACUUCAAAUCCGGUGCAACGGGCUAAAACCUCGUUGGGUGGGUUCGAUUCCCAUGCACUUCCGCCA
This 98-nucleotide transfer RNA is filed under the name Bacteroides sp. SM23_62_1. Its description in RNAcentral is "tRNA-Sec". It matches the Rfam family "Selenocysteine transfer RNA". The record is from RNAcentral. Lineage: Bacteria; Pseudomonadati; Bacteroidota; Bacteroidia; Bacteroidales; Bacteroidaceae.